RNAcentral lists this ribosomal RNA (433 nucleotides) under uncultured bacterium. Its description in RNAcentral is "partial 16S ribosomal RNA". It matches the Rfam family "Bacterial small subunit ribosomal RNA", at positions 29 to 507 of the family's 1533-position model. The record is from RNAcentral.
AACGAACGCUGGCGGCAUGCCUAACACAUGCAAGUCGAACGAGACCUUCGGGUCUAGUGGCGCACGGGUGCGUAACGCGUGGGAACCUGCCCUUAGGUUCGGAAUAACUCCCCGAAAGGGGUGCUAAUACCGGAUAAUGUCUUCGGACCAAAGAUUUAUCGCCUUUGGAUGGGCCCGCGUUGGAUUAGCUAGUUGGUAGGGUAAAAGCCUACCAAGGCGAUGAUCCAUAGCUGGUCUGAGAGGAUGAUCAGCCACACUGGGACUGAGACACGGCCCAGACUCCUACGGGAGGCAGCAGUGGGGAAUAUUGGACAAUGGGCGAAAGCCUGAUCCAGCAAUGCCGCGUGAGUGAUGAAGGCCUUAGGGUUGUAAAGCUCUUUUACCCGGGAUGAUAAUGACAGUGCCGGGAGAAUAAGCUCCGGCUAACUCCGUG